This 253-nucleotide ribosomal RNA is filed under the name uncultured bacterium. Its description in RNAcentral is "partial 16S ribosomal RNA". It matches the Rfam family "Bacterial small subunit ribosomal RNA", at positions 524 to 776 of the family's 1533-position model. The record is from RNAcentral.
UACGUAGGGCGCAAGCGUUAUCCGGAAUUAUUGGGCGUAAAGAGCUCGUAGGCGGUUUGUCGCGUCUGCCGUGAAAGUCCGGGGCUCAACUCCGGAUCUGCGGUGGGUACGGGCAGACUAGAGUGAUGUAGGGGAGACUGGAAUUCCUGGUGUAGCGGUGAAAUGCGUAGAUAUUGGGAGGAACACCCGUAGCGAAGGCGGCACUCUGGGCCGGAACUGACGCUGAGGAGCGAAAGCGUGGGGAGCAAACAGG